AGCAAUCAGCGAGACUCCGUGGGCGUAGGACCCUCCGAGCCAGGUGCGGGAUAUAGUCUGGUGGUGCGCCGUUUUUUAAGUCGGUCUGAAAAGCGCAAUAUUCGGGUGGGAGUGACCCGAUUUUCCAGGUGCGUCCGUCACCCCUUUCUUUGACUCGGAAAGGGAACUCCCUGACCCCUUGCGCUUCCCAGGUGAGGCAAUGCCUCGCCCUGCUUCGGCUCGCACACAGUGCACACACCCACUGGCCUGCAUCCACUGUCUGGCACUCCCUAGUGAGAUGAACCCGGUACCUCAGAUGGAAAUGCAGAAAUCACCCGUCUUCUGCGUCGCUCACGCUGGGAGCUGUAGACCGGAGCUGUUCCUAUUCGGCCAUCUUGGGUCUGGAUUCGGCAUUACAUGUCUUAACGGAAAGCCAAUGUAGAAAUACCGAGGCCAACCAGUGGUUUACUUUGAUGCUUACCAGGGAACACUAGGGAAAUUUGCCAGUACAUGGAUCCUGUUUGGAAGAAUCAGAUCAAAGGAAGAAAUAUACAGUGUCAGACCCUGGCACCU
Long non-coding RNA from Homo sapiens (human), 552 nucleotides. The record is from Ensembl. NCBI's taxonomy places the organism in Eukaryota, Metazoa, Chordata, Mammalia, Primates, Hominidae.